Molecule: ribosomal RNA, 253 nt
Filed under: uncultured bacterium
Lineage: Bacteria
Description: partial 16S ribosomal RNA
Rfam family: Bacterial small subunit ribosomal RNA
Source: RNAcentral
UACGUAGGUGGCAAGCGUUAUCCGGAUUUAUUGGGCGUAAAGGGAACGCAGGCGGUCUUUUAAGUCAGAUGUGAAAGCCUUCGGCUUAACCGGAGUAGUGCAUUGGAAACUGGGAGACUUGAGUGCAGAAGAGGAGAGUGGAACUCCAUGUGUAGCGGUGAAAUGCGUAGAUAUAUGGAAGAACACCAGUGGCGAAAGCGGCUCUCUGGUCUGUAACUGACGCUGAGGUUCGAAAGCGUGGGUAGCAAACAGG